GGGGUCGUAGCCUAGCCUGGCAGGGCGACGGGCUCCAGAGGUGAACUAAGCUACUGAUGAAAGGAUGAUGUAAGUUUGGAGCUGUAGUGACCCGUAGGUCGCCGGUUCGAUUCCGGUCGGCCCCA
Molecule: transfer RNA, 125 nt
Filed under: Cenarchaeum sp. SB0661_bin_35
Lineage: Archaea; Thermoproteati; Nitrososphaerota; Candidatus Cenarchaeales; Candidatus Cenarchaeaceae
Also listed under: 7 other names
Description: tRNA-Trp
Rfam family: tRNA
About the family: Transfer RNA (tRNA) molecules are approximately 80 nucleotides in length.
Source: RNAcentral